This 391-nucleotide ribosomal RNA is filed under the name uncultured microorganism. Its description in RNAcentral is "bacterial SSU rRNA". It matches the Rfam family "Bacterial small subunit ribosomal RNA", at positions 9 to 402 of the family's 1533-position model. The record is from RNAcentral.
GAGUUUGAUCAUGGCUCAGGACGAACGCUGGCGGCGUGCUUAACACAUGCAAGUCGAACGGAAAGGCCCUGCUUGCAGGGUACUCGAGUGGCGAACGGGUGAGUAACACGUGGGUGAUCUGCCCUGCACUUCGGGGAUAAGCUUGGGAAACUGGGUCUAAUACCGGAUAGGAGCCAUCUUUAGUGUGGUGGUUGGAAAGUUUUUCGGUGUAGGAUGAGCUCGCGGCCUAUCAGCUUGUUGGUGGGGUAAUGGCCUACCAAGGCGGCGACGGGUAGCCGGCCUGAGAGGGUGUACGGCCACAUUGGGACUGAGAUACGGCCCAGACUCCUACGGGAGGCAGCAGUGGGGAAUAUUGCACAAUGGGCGCAAGCCUGAUGCAGCGACGCCGCGU